RNAcentral lists this long non-coding RNA (277 nucleotides) under Elaeis guineensis (African oil palm). RNAcentral describes it as "long non-coding RNA (EGUI_LNC056487)". Lineage: Eukaryota; Viridiplantae; Streptophyta; Magnoliopsida; Arecales; Arecaceae. The record is from RNAcentral.
CCCUGGCCUUGAUUGCUAACAAGGGUGGAUGCAUAGGUGGUGCCAUUACGACAGAGGGAAGAAAAGUUUCGCAAGGAGAGAGAGACGAAAGGUAGGGUUCAACUGACCUUCAGACUCUAUUUAUAGAUGUCAAUGCCUACAUCAACCACCAACAAUAGCUUGAAGGAAUACAGCCAUCAAUCAGGCAAUAAAUGGUCUAUUUUCCCACUACCAGAAAUAAAUCCAAGCGAUGCUUCGGGGAUCAACGCAUGGCCACAUGGCAUAUGCUUAUAGGCCC